AGGACGAACGCUGGCGGCGUGCUUAACACAUGCAAGUCGAACGGUGAAGCCUUUCGGGGUGGAUCAGUGGCGAACGGGUGAGUAACACGUGAGUAAUCUGCCCUUGACUCUGGGAUAACUUCGGGAAACCGUGGCUAAUACCGGAUAUGACGCAUGGUCGCAUGGUCUGUGUGUGGAAAGAUUUAUUGGUCAGGGAUGAGCUCGCGGCCUAUCAGCUUGUUGGUGGGUAAUGGCCUACCAAGGCGACGACGGGUA
RNAcentral lists this ribosomal RNA (255 nucleotides) under uncultured bacterium. Its description in RNAcentral is "partial small subunit ribosomal RNA". It matches the Rfam family "Bacterial small subunit ribosomal RNA", at positions 26 to 285 of the family's 1533-position model. The record is from RNAcentral.